RNAcentral lists this ribosomal RNA (855 nucleotides) under Triticum aestivum (bread wheat). RNAcentral describes it as "partial small subunit ribosomal RNA". The record is from RNAcentral. Lineage: Eukaryota; Viridiplantae; Streptophyta; Magnoliopsida; Poales; Poaceae.
AUGUUACAGACCUUUUCUGAUGCUAUGGGACAGAAGCAUCCUAUAUCUGUGAUCACGGAUGGGGACCUUGCAAUGCAGAGAGCAAUCAGGGUGGUGUGGCCUGACUCAAACCAUAGGCUCUGUAUAUGGCACAUUCAGCAGAACAUUGUACGCCAUCUGCAUGAUGACGCGGUAAAGGAGGAAUUCCGAUCUUUCACAUAUGAUACAUCUUCCAUUGAAGAGCAUGAGAGAAAAUGGUUACACUUCUUACAGCGGAAUAAAGUAACAAGUGAGGACUCCUGGCUGCAUCAGAUGUAUAAGAUGAGAAAACGGUGGUGUGCUCCAUAUCUUGAGGGCCGUUGUUUCCUAGGAUUGAGCAGCAAUCAGUGGAGUGAGAGUUUAAACUCGGUGCUACAUACGCAUCUUGAGGCUAAGAUGACGUUGUUUCAAAUGCUAGAGCACUAUGAGCGUUGCCUUGUGUCGCGACGCUUGAACGAGGCUCUCCAAGACGUCGAGGCCUUACAGUCCGUUCCGUUCAUAGAGGAAAAUGCUUCAGUUCUUGAGAAACACGCCGCGGAAGUUUUUACUCCUGCUGUGUUUAAGUUGGUCAUAUGGAGCAUAGAUGCUGUCAAAAAAUGUGACAUCAGAGAGGUACUUGAUGCAGCAGAGGUUACCACAUACGUUGUGUCUAAGAAGGAAAGAAUGGAUAAAAAGAUCGAAGUGCGCACGGAGUCGAAGGAAGGUAUGCUUCGCAGUAUCAGUUGUUCUUGCCGCAAAUUGGAAUGCGCAGGCACACCAUGUUCCCACAUAUUUUACAUAUUGGAAAUUUUACAAGAAGAAACACUGCCCAGGUGUUGUGUUCCCACUAGGUGGACA